GAUCCAGCAAUGCCGCGUGUGUGAAGAAGGCCUUCGGGUUGUAAAGCACUUUUGUCCGGAAAGAAAACCUCGUGGUUAAUACCCGUGGGGGAUGACGGUACCGGAAGAAUAAGCACCGGCUAACUACGUGCCAGCAGCCGCGGUAAUACGUAGGGUGCAAGCGUUAAUCGGAAUUACUGGGCGUAAAGCGUGCGCAGGCGGUUCGCUAAGACAGAUGUGAAAUCCCCGGGCUUAACCUGGGAACUGCAUUUGUGACUGGCGGGCUAGAGUAUGGCAGAGGGGGGUAGAAUUCCACGUGUAGCAGUGAAAUGCGUAGAGAUGUGGAGGAAUACCGAUGGCGAAGGCAGCCCCCUGGGCCAAUACUGACGCUCAUGCACGAAAGCGUGGGGAGCAAACAGGAUUAGAUACCCUGGUAGUCCACGCCCUAAACGAUGUCAACUAGUUGUCGGGUCUUCAUUGACUUGGUAACGUAGCUAACGCGUGAAGUUGACCGCCUGGGGAGUACGGUCGCAAGAUUAAAACUCAAAGGAAUUGACGGGGACCCGCACAAGCGGUGGAUGAUGUGGAUUAAUUCGAUGCAACGCGAAAAACCUUACCUACCCUUGACAUGUAUGGAACCCUGCUGAGAGGUGGGGGUGCCCGAAAGGGAGCCAUAACACAGGUGCUGCA
RNAcentral lists this ribosomal RNA (669 nucleotides) under Paraburkholderia sp. RNAcentral describes it as "bacterial SSU rRNA". It matches the Rfam family "Bacterial small subunit ribosomal RNA", at positions 385 to 1045 of the family's 1533-position model. Lineage: Bacteria; Pseudomonadati; Pseudomonadota; Betaproteobacteria; Burkholderiales; Burkholderiaceae. The record is from RNAcentral.